UACGGAGGGGGCUAGCGUUGUUCGGAAUUACUGGGCGUAAAGCGCGCGUAGGCGGACCUGCAAGUCGGGGGUGAAAGCCCGAGGCUCAACCUCGGAACUGCCUUCGAUACUGCGGGUCUCGAGUCCGGGAGAGGUGAGUGGAAUUCCGAGUGUAGAGGUGAAAUUCGUAGAUAUUCGGAGGAACACCAGUGGCGAAGGCGGCUCACUGGUCCGGUACUGACGCUGAGGUGCGAAAGCGUGGGGAGCAAACAGG
RNAcentral lists this ribosomal RNA (253 nucleotides) under uncultured bacterium. Its description in RNAcentral is "partial 16S ribosomal RNA". It matches the Rfam family "Bacterial small subunit ribosomal RNA", at positions 524 to 776 of the family's 1533-position model. The record is from RNAcentral.